GGCUUAGAGUUUGAUCAUGGCUCAGGAUGAACGCUGGCGGCGUGCUUAACACAUGCAAGUCGAGCGAAGCGAUUUAGCGGAAGUUUUCGGAUGGAAGUUAGAUUGACUGAGCGGCGGACGGGUGAGUAACGCGUGGGUAACCUGCCUCAUACAGGGGGAUAACAGUUAGAAAUGACUGCUAAUACCGCAUAAGCGCACGGGGACGCAUGUUCUUGUGUGAAAAGCCGAGACGGUAUGAGAUGGACCCGCGUCUGAUUAGCUAGUUGGUGAGGUAACGGCCCACCAAGGCGACGAUCAGUAGCCGACCUGAGAGGGUGACCGGCCACAUUGGGACUGAGACACGGCCCAAACUCCUACGGGAGGCAGCAGUGGGGAAUAUUGCACAAUGGGGGAAACCCUGAUGCAGCGACGCCGCGUGAGUGAAGAAGUAUUUCGGUAUGUAAAGCUCUAUCAGCAGGGAAGAGAAUGACGGUACCUGACUAAGAAGCCCCGGCUAACUACGUGCCAGCAGCCGCGGUAAUACGUAGGGGGCAAGCGUUAUCCGGAUUUACUGGGUGUAAAGGGAGCGUAGACGGCUGGACAAGUCUGAAGUGAAAGCCCAGGGCUCAACCCUGGGACUGCUUUGGGAACUGCCCGGCUAGAGUGCUGGAGAGGUAAGUG
Molecule: ribosomal RNA, 660 nt
Filed under: uncultured organism
Description: bacterial SSU rRNA
Rfam family: Bacterial small subunit ribosomal RNA
Source: RNAcentral